ACACACUGCAAAAAGGGAGGAGGAGGGUCGUACGAUGGUGGUGCUGGUGGUGACAUUUGAGUGAAAGGGAGAGACGGUAGAAGGGAGAGAUGGCAGGGAGAAAGAGUGAAGGAAGGGAGGAUAAGCACAACAUUGGGUACAGGAAAAAUAGAGUGAAAGGGAGAAAUGGGAGGGAGAAUAAGCGCAACAUUGGGUACAGGAAAAAUAUAGUGAAAGGGAGAGAUGGUAGAAGGGAGAAAUGGGAGGGAGGAAGAAUGAAGAAAGGGAGAAUAAGCUCAACAUUGGGUACAGUAGAAAUAUAAGAAAAGGAUAUAGAUGGAAAAGGAAUAAAAAAGGGAGAGAGAGAGUGGAAAGGAGAAGGGAGGAGGAAGAGAAGGAGAAUAACAGCAACAAAGGAGGUAAAGGAGGAAAGUAAAUAAGAGUACAGUGAAGAAAAUACAUAUAAAGGAGGAUAAAAAAGGAGACAGUAGGAGAAAGAAGGGAGAAGGAAGGAAGACAAAAAAAUAAAAAAAAUAAACAAAGAGGAAUGUAGAAAAUGAUAAAGGAUAUAGAUGGAAGAAGAUAAAGAGGAGGAAGAGAGGAGAGAAAAUAUAGGACAAAGAUAAAAAAGGAAAGACAGAAGGAGAGAGAAGGGAGAAGGAAGACAAUGAGAUAAAAAAAGAAAACAAGAGGAACGUAAAAAAUGAUAAAUGACGUAAAUGGAAGAAGAUAAAAAGGAGGAAGAGGAGAGAAAAGAUAGGACAAAAAUAAAGAAGGAAAGACAGAAGGAGAAAGAAAGGAGAAUAAACGAAGACAAUAAGAUAAAAAAAGAAAACAAAGAGGAAUGUAGAAAAUGAUAAAGGAUGUAGAUGGAAGAAGAUAAAAAGGAGGAAGAGAGGAGAGAAAAGAUAGGACAAAGAUAAAACAUGGAAAAGAAAGGAAGAUAAUUAGAUAAAAAAAAGAAAACAAAAAGAAAUGUAGAAAAUGAUAAAUGACACAGACGGAAGAAUAUAAAAGGAGGAAGAGAGGAGAGUAAAGAUAGGACAAAGAUACAGUAUACAUAAAAAAUAAAGAAAAGGCAUGAAUAGAGAGAUACAGAAGGGAAUCACACAUUAAAAAAGGAAACUACAACAGCUGUUAAUCAAGAAAAAGAAAAUUGCCAACAAGUCCUUCAUCAAAUCAUUAUUAUUUCUAUACAUAUCAAUUAGUUCAAGGCUGUAAAGAACCAGACUGUUAGAGGAAAUAAAUGAACACACACACACACACACACACACACACACACACACACACACACACACAAACGCACAUACGCUAAAAGCCGCACAAACAAAAUACGUACAUGCAAAAAAUCGAGGCAAACAAAACAAAGAAAGGUCUAAAAAAAGGAUAAUUUAAGAUAGAAAAAGCAAAAAAUCAAGCAAAAUAAAGAAAACAGAAACAAUUAGUCCUUUUAAAAACAACAUGGCAACUCCCAAAAAGAAAAGAAAAAAGAAAGAAAAAGAAAAGAGAAGUGAACAAAAUGAUGAUAAAUGAGAAAGAAAAUAUGAUAGUAUUGUAAAAAGACUCAUUAUGGAAAAAAAAAUGUUACCAUAUAAGUGUAAAAAAGUGUUCCCAUAUAAGUGUAAAAAAAGUGUUCCCAUAUAAGUGUAAAUUGAUGAUGUAAUAAAGAAUGAGUGAAUAAAAAAUGGAAAAUGCAAAACACGAAUAGAGAAAUGAAGUAGAGAGAGAGAGAGAGAGAGAGAGAGAGAGAGAGAGAGAGAGAGAGAGAGAGAGAGAGAGAGA
Molecule: long non-coding RNA, 1761 nt
Organism: Eriocheir sinensis (Chinese mitten crab)
Lineage: Eukaryota; Metazoa; Arthropoda; Malacostraca; Decapoda; Varunidae
Exons: 2
Source: RefSeq, a predicted model, not a curated record